Molecule: ribosomal RNA, 253 nt
Filed under: uncultured bacterium
Lineage: Bacteria
Description: partial 16S ribosomal RNA
Rfam family: Bacterial small subunit ribosomal RNA
Source: RNAcentral
UACGUAGGGGGCAAGCGUUGUCCGGAAUCAUUGGGCGUAAAGAGCGUGUAGGCGGUCCGGUCAGUCGGUUGUGAAAGUCAAGGGCUCAACCCUUGAAUGCCGGCCGAUACUGCCGGGCUAGAGUCCGGAAGAGGUGAGUGGAAUUCCUGGUGUAGCGGUGAAAUGCGCAGAUAUCGGGAGGAACACCUAUGGCGAAGGCAGCUCGCUGGGACGUUACUGACGCUGAGACGCGAAAGCGUGGGGAGCAAACAGG